AGGUGAUGAUGUGGAACCAAUGC
This 23-nucleotide non-coding RNA is filed under the name Arabidopsis thaliana (thale cress). Lineage: Eukaryota; Viridiplantae; Streptophyta; Magnoliopsida; Brassicales; Brassicaceae. The record is from RNAcentral.